RNAcentral lists this long non-coding RNA (9707 nucleotides) under Homo sapiens (human). RNAcentral's name for it is "HSALNT0099730". Lineage: Eukaryota; Metazoa; Chordata; Mammalia; Primates; Hominidae. The record is from RNAcentral.
AUCUUCUCAGUGGUUCGUCUUUCACCUUGGCUUUAUCUCCUUUAGCAUCCCCUUCAAUCUUUGUCUUGGGCAUGAUGGCAGCAAUGGCAGUGGGAUGUAGGCACUUGGCAAGGGAUGCAGUGGCCCGUGGGCUUUGGUCAGCCCAGGGGGCAUUCUCACCCUUCUUAUUUGAUACCUCCAACUUUGUUCUUUUUGUUUGGAAUUGCUUUAGAUAUUCGAAGUCUCUUGUAGUAUAAUAUACAUUUAUGAUUUUUUUCUAUUUCUGUGAAAAAUGUCAUUGGUAUUUUCAUAGGGAUUACAUUGAACCUGUAGAUUGCUUUGGGUAGUAUUGUCAUUUGACAAUAUUAAUUCUUCCAACCUAUAAGCAUGGGGAUGUCUUUCUAUUUGUUUGUAUCCUCUUCAAUUUUUUUCAUCAAAGUUUUGUAGUUUUCCUUACAGCAGGCUUUCACCUUCUUGGUUACAUUUAUUACUGGGCAGUUUAUUUGUUUUGUAACUAUUGUAAAUGGGAUUGCCUUGUUGAUUUCUGUUUCAGCUAGUUCAUUGUAUGUGCCUACAAAAGCUACUGAUUUUCGUAUAUUAAUUAUGUAUCUUGCAACUCUACUGAAUUCAUUUAUCAGUUCUAAGAAUUCUUGGUAGAGCCUUUAAGUUUUUCAGUAUAUAAGAUUAUGUCAUCUGCAAAGAAAAAUUCGACUUCCUCCUUUCCAAUUUGGAUGCCAUUUAUUUUCUUCUCUUGGCAAUUGCACUGCACAAGACCUCCAGUACUACGUUGAACAAAAGCAAUGAGAGUGGACAUCCUUGUAUUGUUCCAGUUCUUAAGAGAAAAGCUUUUGGCUUUUUCCCAUUGAAUAAAAUGUUAGCUGUGGUUAUGUCACACAUAGCUUUUAUUAUAUUGAAGUACUUUCCUUCUGUACCUAAUUUACUGAGAAUUUUGAUAAUGAAGGGAUGUCGAAUUUAAUCAAAUGCUUUUGCUUCAUCUAUUGAGAUGAUGACACGGUUUUAGUCCUUUAUUCUAUUGAUGUAAUAAUGAUGUUUAUUGAUUUGUAUAUGUUGAACCAUCCUUGAAUUGCUGGCAUAAAUUUCACCUGAGCAUGGUGUAUCAUCUUUCUGAUGUAAUUUUGGAUUCAGUUUGCUAGUGUUUCACUGAGAACUUUUCCACCUAUGUUCAUCAGGGAUAUUGGCCUGUAGAUUGUUUUGUUGCUGUUCUGUUCUUGCCUAGUUUUGGUAUCAGGGUUAUGCUGACCUCCUAGAAUAAAUUAGGAAGAAUUCCCACUGCUUCAACAUUGCUGGAAUAACUUGAGAAAAAUUGGUAUUAAUUCUUAUUUAAAGGAGCAAUAGAAUUCAAUAGGAAAGCCAUUCAGUCCCGAACUUUUCUUUUUUGGGGAACUUUUUAUUACUAAUUCAAUCUCAUUACUUCUUUUGUGUGUGUGUAUGUGUGUGUGACUUACUCUGUCACCUAGGCUGGAGUGCAGCAGUGCAAUCUUGGCUCACUGCAACCUCUGCCUCCUGGGUUCAAGUAAUUCUCCUGCCUCAGCCUUCUGAGUAGCUGAGAUUACAGGUGCACACCACCAUGCCUGGCUAAUUUUUGUAUUUUUUCAGUACAGACAGGGUUUCACCAUGUUGGCCAGGCUAGUCUCAAACUCCUGAUCUUGUGAUCUGCUCAGCUCAGCCUCCCAAAGUGAUGGGAGUACAGGCGUGAGCCACCGUGCCCAGCCCAAUUGCAUUACUUCUUAUCACUCUGUUCAGGUUUUCUAUUUCAUCUUGGUUAAAUCUCAAGAGUUUGUAUGUGUCCAGGAACUUGUUCAUUUCCUUGAGGUUUUCAAAUUUAUUGAAAUAUAGUUAUUUUUAGUAGUUUUUAAUUAUCCUUUGUAUUUCUGUGAUAUCCAUUGUGACAUCCCCUUUUCAUUUCUGAUUUUAUUUACUUGGUUUUCUCUCUUUUUUAGUUAGUCUAGCUAAUUGUCUAUUUUGUUUAUCUUUUCAAAAAUCCAAAUUUUUGUUUCAUUGAUCUUUUGUAUUUUUUAGCUUCAAUUUUGUUUAUUUCUUCUCAGAUCUUCAUUAUUUCCCUUUUUCUACUAAUUUUGGAUUUGGUUUUUUCUUCUUUUGGUAGAUUUGUAUCUUUGUGCAUCAUCAGGCUGUUUAUUUGAAAUAUUUCUAGUGUCUUCAUGUAGGCAUUGAUUGCUAUAAAUUUGCCAUUUAACACUUCUUUUGCUGUGCCCCAUAGGUUUUGGUAUGUUGUGUUUCUAUUUUCAUUUGUUUCAAGGAAUUUUUAAAUUCCCUUCCUAAUUUAUUCCUUCACUCAUUGGUCAUUCAGAAGCAUGUUUUCUAACUCCCAUGUAUUUGCAUAGUUUUAAAUGUUCCUCUUGUAAUUGAUGUCUAGUUUAUUCCACUGUGGUCACAUAAGAUAUUUGACAUAAUUUUGAUGUUUUAGUGUUUUGAGACUUGGAAUUUCCUUGUCUCAAGGAAAUUCCUUGUGGGCAAAGGACAGAAUUCAAAGUCAUCCCUCUGAGGUUGACCUGAGACAAAUGGAUAUCUGAUUGUUUCCUCUGUCUUAUUCUUUAUGUAACAAUGCAGAUGCACCAAGCCAGACUAAAUUGUGUAUUCAGUGGAAAGCUGAUCGAGGACUUAAAAGAAUGCAACCUUUUGUCUCUUAUCUACUUCUGACCUGGAAGCCCCCACUUCAAGUUGUCCUGAAGUGUCUCAUGUCUCCCUGAAAUGCAUAAAAGCAAGCUAUUCCCCAACCACCUUGGGCACAUGUCCAAGCCUCAGGACCACCUGAGGCUGUGUCAUGGGUGCAUCCUUAACCUUGGCAAAAUAAACUUUCUAAAUUGACUGCGACCUGUCUCAGAUAUUUUGGGUUCACAUUAUUAUCUUUUCACUUUCAGAUGCAAGGCUCCCUUGAGCAUUUCUUAUAAAAUCAGGUUAGUGAUAGUGAAUUCCCUUAUGUUUUGCUUGUCUGGGACUUUAUUUCUCCUUUAUUUCUGAAGGAGAUAGCUUUGCUGAGUAUAAUAUUCCUAGUUGACAGGGGUUUUUUCCCAGUACUUUCAAUAUCUUGCCCCAUUCUCUCUUGGCCUGUAAUGUUUGUGUAGAGAAAUCUGCUCUUAGUCUAAUGGGGAUUCCCUUAAGUUUGACUUGACACUUUUCACUUGCUGAUUUUAGAAUUCUUUGUCUUUGACUGUUGACAAUUGGACUGUUAUGUACCUUGGAGAGGACCUGUUUGGGUUGAAUCUAUUUGGAAUUCUUUGAGCUUCCUAGACCUGGAUGUCCACCUUUCUCUCAAAACUUGCGAAGUUUUCUGCUAUUCUUUUAUUAAAUGUGUUUUUCUCACCUUUUCCCAUGUCUUCUGCCUCUGGAACACCCAUAAUAUGAAUAUUUCUUGGUGUAAUAGUGCCCUAUAAAUCUGAUAUCCUUGCUUCAUUAUUUCUUCUUCCUCCUCCUCUUCUUCUUCCUUUUCUUCUUCUUGUUCUCCUCCUCCUCCUUCUUCUUCCUCUUCUUUUCCUUCCUCCUCCUCUUCCUCCUCUUCUUCUUCCUCUUCUUCUUUUCCUCCUUCUCCUCCUCCUGCUUCUGCUGCUUCUACUUCCUGAGUUGUUUGAAAAGACCUAUCUUUCAGUUUAGAAAUUGUUACUUCUACUUGAUCUAGUCUUUUGUUGAAGCUAUCAAUUUCAUUUGUUUUAUUCAUUGAAUUAUUUAGCUCUAGGAUUUCUGUUUGGUUCUUUUUUAUGAUACCUUUUUUAUGAUAUCUGUCUCUUUGUUGAAUUUCUCAUUCAAAUCAAUUCAAACCAUGAAUUGCUUUCCUGACUUUAUUGAGUUUGUACGUCUGCAUUUUAUUGUAUCUCACUGAGUUUCCUUAUGACUAUUAUUUUACAUUUUUCUCCACCUUUCACAGAUUUUCUUAUAAUUAUGGACUGUUAAUGGAGAAUUACUGUUUUCCUUGCUUUCUAAUGUUUGAUGUAUCCCUACAUUAAUUUUACACAUCUGAUGGAAAAGUUGCCUUCAGCAAUUUUAUGGAGUAGGUUUCAUAGGGAAACCUCAUAGGUUUCAUACACUUAUUCAUAUAAGUGAGUUUGGGGGUAUCAGUUUGGUGGGGUGCACUGGCCUUUGUUCUACAUUAAUAAGUAGUGUGUUAUCCAUUUCUUCAGCUAUAAUCCACACUAGUGGCAUUUGUGAGUGUGUGUAUAUAUAUACACACACACAUAUAUGUAAAAUUGUGUGUAUGUACACAUAUAUGUGUGUAUAUAUAUACAUAUAUAUGCAAAAUUGUGUGUAUAUAUACACACACACAUAUAUACACAUAUAUAUGCAAAAUUUAAUGAAGCUAAUACUGUGACCACUACAGAGGCCCCCAGUGUGUCACUUCUAAUCAUAAUCUUUUCCUUCCCUAAUCAGAAAUAACCAUUAUGACUUUUGCAAAAUUCAGUUUCUUGCUUAAAAUUUUCCAUUUGUUUAUGCAUUUCUAAGUGAUAUAAUUUAGUUUGCCUGUUUUAAAAAUAUGUAAAUAGAAUCACACUGAAUGUGUGUGUGUGUGUGUGUCCUGUUUCUUUCAUCUAACAUUAUAUAUGUGAGAUUCAUUUAUGUUGUUAUGUACAACUGCAGUUAAUCAAUUUUUAUGGUGCAUGGUAUUCCAUUGUAUGAAUAUACCAAAAUUAGGUUGUUGUUUUUUUUUUCUGAGACAAGUGGCUGGAACUACAAGCAUGCAUCACCACACCUGGCUAAUUUUUGUAUUUUUAAUAGAGAUGGGUUUCAUCAUGUUAGCCAGGCUGGUCUCCAACUCCUGAACUCAAGUGAUCCACCCGCCUUGAGCUCCCAAAGUGCUGGGAUUACAGGCGAGAGCCACCAUGCCGGGCCCCAGCAUUAGUUUAUUAAAUAGCUAUACCAGCUUCUUUCAAUUAUAGUGUGAAUAAUACAUCUUUUUUCUUAUUUUCAUUUUAGACCUUUCUCUACCUUAUAUUUUGGAAGUACCUUUUGUAGAUACCAUAUAAUUGUAUUCUUAUGGUUUUGAUGUUCUUGUUAUCUAAUCUGAUAAUCUUUGUAUUUUAGCUGACAUAUUUAAGCCAUUUGCAUAUAAUAUAAUUAUUUUAUAUUUGGGCUUAAAUCUAGCAUAUUUUAGACUUUAUAUUUGUUAUAGCUAUUCAGUGUUUCUUUCUUCUCCUACUCCUUUUGUAAUAUUUUUUAUCAUUCCAUUUUUUUCUCUACUGAUUUCAAAUUAGAUCAUCUGAUCCUAUUCUUUUUUAUAAGAUAAAACAAUAUACUUUAAUGUAAUAAGGUAUGAAAAAAUAAUCAAUAUGCUUUCAGAUUUCAACUGCAACAAGUUUUUUUUUUUUUAAAUCACAUGAUUGGCUCCUCUGGCCACCAGACCCCAUCUUCCAAGAGUCACCUCAUUAGCACAGACUCCAGUAUGAUUGAAAGGGGCUUUUUAAAAUUAUUAUUUCAAUAAAUAUUUGGAGAAUAGGUGGUAUUUGGUUGCAUGAAUGAGUUCUUUAGUGGUGAUUUCUGAGAUUUUGUGCACCCAUUACCCGAACAGUAUAUACUGUGCCAAAUUUGUAGUUUUUUUUAUCCUUCACCCCCUUCCCACCCUUUCCCUUGAGUCCCCUAAGUCCAUUGUAUUAUUCUUUUUUUUUUUUAAACAGAGAUGGGGUUUCACCAUGUUGGCCAGGCUGGUGUCGAACUCCUGACCUCAAGUGAUCCACCCGCCUCGGCCUCCCAAAGUGCUGGAAUUACAGGCAUGCACCACCACACCUGGCCUGUGUCAUUCUUAUGACUUUCCAUCCUCAUAGUUUAGCUCCCACUUAUGAGUGAUAACAUACAAUGUUUGGCUUUCCAUUCCUGAGUUACUUCACUUAGAAUAAUAGUCUUGAAUUCCAUCCAGGUUGCUGCAAAUGCCAUUAUUCUAUUCCUUUUUAUGACUGAGUAGUAUUCCAUGGGAUAAAUAUACCAGAGUUUCUUUAUCCACUCGUUGAAUGAUGGGCAUUUAGGCUGUUUCCAUAUUUUUGUAAUUGCGAACUGUGCUACUAUACAUACGUGUGUGCAAGUAUCUUUUUCGUAUAAUGACUUCUUUUUCUCUGGGUAGAUACCCAGUAGUGAGAUUGUUGCUGAUACUAUUCUUUUAAUGGUUAUCCUAGAAAUAAAAACAUGAAUACCUAUUACUAAGCAAGCAAUGGACUUGCUGACUGAUGUUUACAGAAGCCAAUGUUAUGGCAGAGGCUUUUGAGAAAAGAAAGACUUUAUUGUGAAUCAACUGGCAAAAAGACAGAAAACAAUGCUCAAAUCUCCCCAAAAAAAUGCUCAAAUCUCCCCAAAAAAAUCUCCCCAAGCCAGGGGCUUGGGCAGGUUUUACAGGAAAAGGGUAAUUAGGUGUGAUCUAAUUGGAUCUUGCAAAGAGGUAACGCCUGGGGGUGUGAUCUAAUUGGAUGAUGCCAUGAGGUGAUGCCAGGGUACUAUCUAAUUAGAGCAUGAGAUGAGGUAAUCCCCAGGCUUGCUGCCAUAUUCAGUCCCUGUUCCUUCAUAUGAGAGGUUUGGUUCCACCUGUGGUAGACUUUUUAGUUCUGCCCGGAUCUGGAGUCAUGAAUAAGGCACAUUUGGUUCAUCUGGGCAUGCUCAGGUUAUGUGCCCUGCAUUCUAAGGUUUCACAGCAAUUGAAAAACAAUUCACCAUUUUAUUACACAAAGAUGAAUUAGAUUGAGCCAGUUCUAUGGUUACAUACUUAACAAAAUCUAAAGAUAUCCUCCUCCUAGACAAUGAAUGGACCUCAGAAAAAAUUUAAUUUCAUUUGCCCUUUUCCUAAUUUAUAUGUUAUUGUUGGAGUAUUAACUCUGUUUUUUUUCAAUCCUAUUAAAUAUUAAUGUUCAUCUUUUUCCUUUAGGAUUAUCUAGAUACUUCUCACUUUCAUUGCUCUUUACUUUUUCUUGCAUGUUAUGUCUUCCACUGGAAUUAUUUUCUUUUGCCUGAAGUAUACUCUUUUUUUUUUUUUUUUAACAGGAUGUCACUCUAUCACCCAAGUUGGAGUGUAGUGGCACAAUCGUAGCUCAUUGCAGCCUCAAACUCCUGGGUUCAAGCAAUCCUCCUGCCUCAGCAGCCCAAGUAGCAAGGACUAAAGGCAUGCACCACCACACCCAGCUAAUUUUUUUUUUAAGAGGCAGGGUGUGAUAUGGUUUGGCUGUGUUCCCACCCAAAUCUCAUCUUGAAUUGUAGCUCCCACAAUUCCCACAUGUUGUGGGAGGGACCUGGUGGGAGAUAAUUGAAUCAUGGGGGUGGUUUCCCUCAUACUGUUAUCAUGGUAGUGAAUAAGUCUCAUGAGAUCUGAUGGUUUUAUAAAGAGAACCCCCUUUUGCUUGGGUCUCAUUCUCUUUUUUUGUCUGCCACCAUGUGAGACAUGCCUUUCACCUUCCACCAUGAUUGUAAGCCCUCCCCAGCCACGUGGAACUGUGAGUCCAUUAAUCCUCUUUCUUUUGUAAAUUGCCCAAUCUCAGGUAUGCCUAUAUUAGUCCGUAUGAAAACGGACUAAUAUAGGGUGUCACUAUGUUUCCUAGGCUGAUCUCAAACUCCUGGCCUCAAGCAAACCUCCUGCCUCAGUCUCUGCAAGUGUUGGGAUUACAGACAUGAGCCACCAUGCCUCAUCAAGAAGUAUAUUCAUUAAAAUUUCAUUUAGUAAUGCUCAGCUGACAGUGACAUUUAUCUGAAAAUGCCUUUUUUAAAGGUCAUUUUUGAAAAAGGUAUUUUUUUGUUGCUUACAGAAUAUAAGAUUGGAAACUAUUUUCCUUCAGCAAAUUGUCUUCUUGUUUAAAUUGUUGCUGUUGAGAAGUCUGCUUUUCACUCUCUGAUAAUAUUUUGAAAAUAAUUGCUUUAAACAUUUUCUCUUGCCUUUAGCUAGCAUAAUUUUUAUUAGUAUUUGUUAUUUUAUCAUAUUUAUUUGAGGCUAGAUGAGGACGUCUUUGUACUUAGUGUGCGUCCCAUAUUUGUGAAUUUCUGAUUUUUAAUUCCAGAAAAUUCUCAGAUUUCAUCUUCUCAAAUAUUGCCUCUCUCAUUCUCUUUCUUUAGAACUCCACUUAUUUGUUAGAGCUCACUUUAUUCUCCUCACCUUCUUACCCUCCUUCUAUAUUUUGCAUCUCUUUGUGUCUCAAUAAUACAGGAUAAUGAUGCAAGAACAAAAUGAGAAUGUUAACAAAGAGAUAGAAAAUAUUAAAUAGGACCAAACAAUAAUUUAGUGACUGAAACAUACAAUUACUGAAUUGAAAAAUGUACCAGAGGCCAGGCGUGGUGGCUCAUGCUUGUAAUCACAGCACUUUGAGAGGCCAAGGCAGGCAGAUUACUUGAGACCAGGCGUUCAAAACCAGCCUUGCCAACAUGGUGAGACCCUGUCUCUACUAAAAAUACAAAAAUCAGCCAGGCGUGGUGGCAUGUGCCUAUAAUCCCAGCUACUUGGAGGGUGCAGCAUGAGAAUCACUUGAACCCAAGAGGCAGAGGUUGCAGUGAGCCAAGAUCCUGCCACUGCACUGCAGCCUGGGUGACAGAGCAAGACUCUGUCAAAAAGAAAGAAGGAAAGGAAGAAAGGAAGGAAGGACGAAGGAAGGAAGGAAGGAAGGAAAGAAGGGAGGAAGGGAGGGAGGGAGGGAAAGAGAAAGAGAAAGAGAAAGAGAAAGAAAGAAGGAUGUACCAGAGAGUUUCAACAGUAGACUUGGUCAAAUGGAAGAAUUAAUUAGAAAAUUCAAAAACAGGUCAUUUGAAAUUACCCAGUGAGAGGAGAGAAAAAAAAGAAUGAAAAAGAGUAAAUAAAACAUAAGGGACGUAUAAGCCACUGUCAAGUGGGCCAAUGGACACAUAAUGUAAGUCUCAGAAGAAGAAGGGGGAAGGCAGAGAGAAAGAAACAGAAAGUUUUUUUGAAGAAAUAAUGGUCUAACACCUCCAAAAUCUAGGGAAAGAAAUGGACACCCAGAUUUGAGAAGUUCAAAUAUCUCUAACUAGAUAAACUGAUGAAGUGCAAACCACAACACUUUAUGAUCAAAUUGGCAAAGGUCAAAGACAAAGACAACUUUGAAAGCAGCAAGAGAAGAGCAAGUAAUUACAUACUAGGGAGCUUCCAUAAGACAAUCAGCAGAUUUCUCAGCAGAAACUUUGUAGGCUGAGGGAAUGGAAAUUCAAAUUCUUAAAAAAAAAAAAAAAAAAAGCUGCCAAUCCAGAAUGCUAUUACCUAGAAAAACUAUCCUUCAAAAAUGAAGAAAUAAAGACUUUUCCAAAUAAACAAAAUCUAAAGAAGUUUAUUACUACUAGACCUGCCUUAUAAGUGUAUAACUAUAAAAUAUGUUAAUGGGUACACAUUAAAAAUAGAACUCAUGAUAUCAAUUACAGUUUACACAAAUGUAAUGAUUUGUGUAACUGAUGAUGAGGAGUAACAAUUACAUCAAAUACAUAUUACAUCAAAUAUGUAAUCUGUGACAGUAAGUAGAGGGGAAAAGUAAAAGAGCAGUUUUUUAUGUGAUUAAAAUUGAGUUGUUAUAAGCUUUAAAUAGACUGUUAUAACUAUAACAUGUUUUAUGUAAAUCCAAUGGUAACAACAAGGAAAAUAUUUGGCUGGGCGUGGUGGCUCAUGCCUGUAAUCCCAACACUUUGAGAGGCCAAGGUGGGCAGAUCACCUGAGGUCGGGAGUUUGAGACCAGCCUGACCAACUGGAGAAACCCUACCUCCACUAAAAAAAAAUACAAAAUUAGCUGAGUGUGGUG